GCCAAACCGUAAAUUUAAAUUACACAUAAAACGCCAGGGUACUACGAGCCAAGCUUAAAACCCAAAGGAUUUGACGGUGUUUCAUCCAACUAGAGGAGCCUGUUCUAUAAUCGAUAGUCCACGAUCUACCUAACCAUUUUUUGCUACGCAGCCUGUAUACCUCCGUCGUAAGUUUACCAUUUAAGUGAGCAAAAGUGAGCAAAAGGACUUAGAGCCAAAACGUCAGGUCAAGGUGCAGCUUAUAAAAUGGAAGAAAUGAGCUACAAUUUCUAAUUUAGAACACACGAAUUACUGCAUGAAAAAAGGUCAUGAAGGUGGAUUUAGCAGUAAGUAGGGAAUAGAGAGCCCUACUUAAUAUCGGCCCUGAAACGCGU
Molecule: ribosomal RNA, 374 nt
Filed under: Polypedates macrotis (Baram whipping frog)
Lineage: Eukaryota; Metazoa; Chordata; Amphibia; Anura; Rhacophoridae
Description: partial 12S ribosomal RNA
Rfam family: Bacterial small subunit ribosomal RNA
Source: RNAcentral